UACGAAGGGGGCUAGCGUUGCUCGGAAUUACUGGGCGUAAAGCGCACGUAGGCGGCUUCUUAAGUCGGUGGUGAAAUCCUGGAGCUCAACUCCAGAACUGCCUUCGAUACUGGGGAGCUCGAGUCCGGGAGAGGUGAGUGGAACUGCGAGUGUAGAGGUGAAAUUCGUAGAUAUUGGGAGGAACACCAGUGGCGAAGGCGGCUCACUGGACCGGUUCUGACGCUGAUGCGCGAAAGCGUGGGGAGCAAACGGG
Molecule: ribosomal RNA, 253 nt
Filed under: uncultured prokaryote
Description: partial 16S ribosomal RNA
Rfam family: Bacterial small subunit ribosomal RNA
Source: RNAcentral